CCUACGGGAGGCAGCAGUGAGGAAUAUUGGUCAAUGGCCGGAAGGCUGAACCAGCCAAGCCGCGUGAAGGACGAAGGUGCAAAGCAUUGUAAACUUCUUUUGUCAAGGGACAAAAUCAGGCACGAGAGCCUGACCGAGGGUACCUGAAGAAAAAGCAUCGGCUAACUCCGUGCCAGCAGCCGCGGUAAUACGGAGGAUGCGAGCGUUAUCCGGAUUUAUUGGGUUGAAAGGGUGCGUAGGCGGACUGGUAAGUCAGCGGUCAAAGCCCGGGGCUCACCCCCGGCGAGCCGUUGAAACUGGCUGUCUUGAGUUGGCGAGCGGUAUGCGGCAUGCGCAGUGUAGCGGU
This 346-nucleotide ribosomal RNA is filed under the name uncultured bacterium. Its description in RNAcentral is "partial 16S ribosomal RNA". It matches the Rfam family "Bacterial small subunit ribosomal RNA", at positions 338 to 682 of the family's 1533-position model. The record is from RNAcentral.